GCUGAGCUCAGUAACGAGAGCUUGUGACUCAAGUGAGGGCAAAUAUGUAGUUGGGACUUUGGUUCGGUACAAGGGGUCGGGUUCAGGCUGGGUUUUCACUGACUCGCCCAAUCCAAGCCAGGAGCUGUGCUACGUGGUUUGAGCGAAGGUUCGGAUCUCGUGGCUCUUAAAGUGGAGGGUAUUGCGUGAGGCUGGUUUCACAGAGCAGCGAAUACCUCCCGCUUCCGGCAGUGUAUGGUUAACGAGUCGGAUCCGCUUGGGCCCAAUAUGAUUUCAUGGGCCGAUCUCAAUUGGACCAAUUAUUUU
This 306-nucleotide signal recognition particle RNA is filed under the name Arabidopsis lyrata subsp. lyrata. RNAcentral's name for it is "SRP RNA Plant_SRP". It matches the Rfam family "Plant signal recognition particle RNA". The record is from RNAcentral. Lineage: Eukaryota; Viridiplantae; Streptophyta; Magnoliopsida; Brassicales; Brassicaceae.